This 301-nucleotide ribosomal RNA is filed under the name uncultured bacterium. Its description in RNAcentral is "partial 16S ribosomal RNA". It matches the Rfam family "Bacterial small subunit ribosomal RNA", at positions 509 to 807 of the family's 1533-position model. The record is from RNAcentral.
CAGUCGCCGCGGGAAUACGAAGGGUGCAAGCGUUACUCGGAAUUACUGGGCGUAAAGCGUGCGUAGGCGGCUAAUUGAGUCGGAUGUGAAAUCCCCGAGCUUAACUUGGGAAUUGCAUUCGAUACUGGUUAGCUAGAGUGUGGGAGAGGAUGGUAGAAUUCCAGGUGUAGCGGUGAAAUGCGUAGAGAUCUGGAGGAAUACCGAUGGCGAAGGCAGCCAUCUGGCCUAACACUGACGCUGAGGUACGAAAGCAUGGGGAGCAAACAGGAUUAGAUACCCGGGUAGUCCCUGUCUCUUAUAC